This 58-nucleotide transfer RNA is filed under the name Actinokineospora alba. RNAcentral describes it as "Alloactinosynnema alba tRNA". It matches the Rfam family "tRNA", at positions 15 to 71 of the family's 71-position model. Rfam says of the family: Transfer RNA (tRNA) molecules are approximately 80 nucleotides in length. Their secondary structure includes four short double-helical elements and three loops (D, anti-codon, and T loops). The record is from Rfam by way of RNAcentral. Lineage: Bacteria; Bacillati; Actinomycetota; Actinomycetes; Pseudonocardiales; Pseudonocardiaceae.
GGGCUGGGGCCGGGGACUCAUAAUCCCUUGGCCGUGGGUUCGAGCCCCACCCGCCCCA